GGAACCCUAGCCGCUGCAGUCCGCCGCCUCCAGCCCUACUUCUUCGCAAUGGCCGCUCCUAGCAAUAUCGAGAAAGAGCAGAUCUUUGUGAUGGCGGAGAAAGAGAUGGAGUACCGAGUAGAACUUUUCAAUAAGCUUGCUCAGACAUGUUAUGACAAAUGUGUGGAGAAAAGAUACAAGGAAUCUGAGCUCAAUAUGGGUGAAAAUAGCUGCAUUGACCGUUGUGUUUCAAAAUAUUGGCAGGUGACCAACUUAGU
RNAcentral lists this unclassified non-coding RNA (257 nucleotides) under Hevea brasiliensis (rubber tree). Lineage: Eukaryota; Viridiplantae; Streptophyta; Magnoliopsida; Malpighiales; Euphorbiaceae. The record is from RNAcentral.